Molecule: ribosomal RNA, 253 nt
Filed under: uncultured bacterium
Lineage: Bacteria
Description: partial 16S ribosomal RNA
Rfam family: Bacterial small subunit ribosomal RNA
Source: RNAcentral
UACGUAGGAUGCAAGCGUUGUCCGGAAUUAUUGGGCGUAAAGAGCGAGCAGGCGGUUUGGAAAGUUGGACGUGAAAUUUUAGGGCUUAACCCUAAAGGGUCGUCCAAAACUCCCAGACUAGAGUGCAGGAGAGGAAAGCGGAAUUCCCGGUGUAGUGGUGAAAUGCGUAGAUAUCGGGAGGAACACCAGAGGCGAAGGCGGCUUUCAGGCCUGUAACUGACGCUGAGGCGCGAAGGCUGGGGUAGCGAACAGG